RNAcentral lists this long non-coding RNA (730 nucleotides) under Zostera marina. Its description in RNAcentral is "long non-coding RNA (ZMAR_LNC004605)". The record is from RNAcentral. Lineage: Eukaryota; Viridiplantae; Streptophyta; Magnoliopsida; Alismatales; Zosteraceae.
GAGUUGUCAUUCUCUCAUGGUAUCAGACGCUAAAGGCGAUUGAUCAAGGGAUCUUUGCUGCUGCACGAUCGUAGCAGUUCUUCCGCUAUUUUCCACUAUCUGGUUCAAGAUCGGCUCUUCUCUUGCUGGUUUUAUUUUUCUGCUGUCAUUUGUUAUCUUCUAUUCUUCCUUGUUACAGUUCAGUUGCAUUUUCUGCUAUUUGUUUUCGUUUUUUUCUCUCUCUAUUCGCGAUGGAACCACCAAGGCUACCUGUGGGUAAUAUAAAUCCAAUCAGACCUAGAGAGAUGGCUGCCCCAAAUCAAAUGUCUUACAGUCUCAACUCGUUAUGCACAAAUCCAAUGACGCUAGAAAAUUUUCUGACUUGGAAAAAUCGAAUUGAAGGUGUUCUUCGAUUUCGCAAGUAUUUGGGUUUUGUGAGAGGUAUGGUACAUGACGGUUCCACCUGCUAGAUUGGAUAAUGGUCAAAUAAAUCCAGAUUAUGAAGCACAUAUUGAGAUUGAUGAGAUAGUCUUAAGCUGGAUUAAAGUGACAGUCUCUUCUUCAAUCCAGACUUUGGUGAUUAGGUGCAAAUCAGCCUUUGAAGCAUGAGAAUUAUUGAAGAAAGAGUACUCACCAAUUGGAAAAUCUCAAAUUCAGACGCUACGAGAACAAAUGAGGGGUCCCCUGAGGUAUCAAUGCAAGAUUACUUAUUAAAAUUUAAAUUUUUAAGAAAUUCAUUGCUUACUACUGG